Non-coding RNA from Podarcis lilfordi (Lilford's wall lizard), 73 nucleotides. The record is from the annotation of a GenBank genome assembly. Lineage: Eukaryota; Metazoa; Chordata; Lepidosauria; Squamata; Lacertidae.
GUCAGGUGGUGCAGUAGCUCAGUGCAUCUGCCUGUUAACCAGAAUAUUGGUGGUUCAAGCCCACCCAGGGACA